AUUCUUCUCCUUGAGGGUGGGGAGAGCCUGGCCCAGGUUGACCCCAGAAGCUGUGGCUGCCCCAUCCCUGGAGGGGUUCAAGGGCAGGUUGGAGGGGGCUUUGCCCUGAGGAGGGUGAGGAGGAGGAGGAAGAGGAGGAGAAGGAGGAGGGGGGUGAUGAUGAGGAGAAGGAGGAUGAGGAGGGGGAUGAAGAGGGGGAGGAGGAGGGGGAAGAGAAGGGGGAGGAGGAGAAGGAGAAGGAAGGUGAUGAGGAGGAGGAGGGUGAUGAGGAGAAGGAGGAUGAGGAGGAGGAGAAGGAGGAUGAGGAGGAAGACAAAGAGGAGGAGGGUGAUGGGGAGGGUGAGGAGGAGGAGGAUGAAGAGGGUGAUGAGGAGGGUGAGGAGGAGGAGGAUGAAGAGGGUGAUGAGGAGGGUGAGGAGGAGGAUGAGGAGGAGGAGGGCAAGGAGGAGGAGGGUGAUGAGGAGGAGGAGAAGGAGGAUGAGGAGGAAGAUGAAGAGGAGGAGGGUGAUGAGGAGGGUGAGGAGGAGGGGGAAAAGAAGGGGGAGGAGGAGAAGGAGGAGGAGGGUGAUGAGGAGGAGAAGGAGGAUGAGGAGGGGGAUGAAGAGGAGGAGGGUGAUGGGGAGGGUGAGGAGGAGGAGGAUGAAGAGGGUGAUGAGGAGGGUGAGGAGGAGAAGGAGGAUGAGGAGUGUGAUGAAGAAGAGGAGGAGGGUGAUGGGGAGGGUGACGAAGAGGAGGGCAAGGAGGAUGAGGAGGAGGUUGAUGAGGAAGAGGAGGAGGAGAGUGAUGAAGAAGAGGAGGAGAGUGAAGAGGAGGGUGAGGAGGAGGAGGAGGAGCGUGAGGAGGAGGGGAAAGCGGAGGAGGAGGAGGAUGAUGAAGGCGGGGAGGAGGAGGAUGAGGAGGGUGAUGAGGAAGAGCAUGAGGAGGGUGACGAGAGUGAUGAGGAGGAUAAGGAUGAGGAAGGGCGAUGAAGAAGAGGAGGAGGGUGACGAGGAGGGUGAUGAGGAAAGGGUUGAGGAGGUGAAGAGGAGGAGGGUGAUGAGGAAGAGCAUGAGGAGAAGGAGGAGGAGGAGGAGGAGGAGGAGGAGGAAGAGGAAGAGGAGGAUGAGAACAGUGAAGCAGAGGGUGAGGAGGAAGAGGAAGGGGAAUGAGGAGGGUGAUGAGGAAGAGGAUGAAGAGGGUGAUGAGGAGGGUGAAGAGGAGGAGCGGGAGGAGGAGGGUGAUGACGAGGAUGAGGAGAGGGAGGAGAAGGAGGAGGAGGAUGAAAAAGGUGUGGAGGAGGAUGAGGAGGGUGAGGAGGAGGAGGAUGAAGAAGGUGACGAGGAGGAUGAGGAGGAGGAGGAUGAAGAAGGUGACGAGGAGGAUGAGGAGGAGGAGGAUGAAGAAGGUGACGAGGAGGAUGAGGAGGAGGAGGAUGAAGAAGGUGACGAGGAGGAUGAGGAGGAGGAGGAUGAAGAAGGUGACGAGGAGGAUGAGGAGGAAGAUGAAGAGGAGGAGGGUGAUGAGGAAGAGGAUGAAGAGGGUGAUGAGGAGAGUGAGGAGGAGGAUGAGGAGGAGGAGGAUGAAGAAGGUGAGGAGGAGGAUGAGGAGGAUGAAGAGGGUGAUAAGGAGAGUGAGGAGGAGGGGGAGGAGGAGGAUGAUGAAGGAGGUGAGGAGGAGGAUGAGGAGGAUGAAGAAGGUGAGGAGGAGGAGGAUGAAGAGGGUGAUGAGGAGAGUGAGGAGGGGGAUGAGGGGGAGGAGGAGGAUGAAGAAGGUGAGGAGGAGGAUGAGGAGGAAGACGAAGAGGGGGAGGAGGAGGAAGGUGAUGGGCAGGGUGAUGAGGAAGGCCUCAGGGACCGUGGGGGCAGGUUCCUCAUUCCCAGAGACCCCGCUCGGGUUCCCCUUCUCCGCCCGGAAGUAAAACCAGGGACGGGGGCACCCCCACCCCCCCCCGGGCCCCCCCCCCCCCCCCCCCCGGG
Molecule: long non-coding RNA, 1955 nt
Filed under: Calidris pugnax (ruff)
Lineage: Eukaryota; Metazoa; Chordata; Aves; Charadriiformes; Scolopacidae
Description: lncRNA (ENSCPUG00000015862.1)
Source: RNAcentral